RNAcentral lists this ribosomal RNA (497 nucleotides) under uncultured bacterium. RNAcentral's name for it is "partial 16S ribosomal RNA". It matches the Rfam family "Bacterial small subunit ribosomal RNA", at positions 28 to 507 of the family's 1533-position model. The record is from RNAcentral.
GAUGAACGCUGGCGGCGUGCCUAAUACAUGCAAGUCGAGCGAACGGACGAGAAGCUUGUUUCUCUGAUGUUAGCGGCGGACGGGUGAGUAACACGUGGAUAACCUACCUAUAAGACUGGGAUAACUUCGGGAAACCGGAGCUAAUACCGGAUAAUAUUUUGAACCGCAUGGUUCAAAAGUGAAAGACGGUCUUGCUGUCACUUAUAGAUGGAUCCGCGCUGCAUUAGCUAGUUGGUAAGGUAACGGCUUACCAAGGCAACGAUGCGUAGCCGGCCUGAGAGGGUGAUCGGCCACACUGGAACUGAGACACGGUCCAGACUCCUACGGGAGGCAGCAGUAGGGAAUCUUCCGCAAUGGGCGAAAGCCUGACGGAGCAACGCCGCGUGAGUGAUGAAGGUCUUCGGAUCGUAAAACUCUGUUAUUAGGGAAGAACAUAUGUGUAAGUAACUGUGCACAUCUUGACGGUACCUAAUCAGAAAGCCACGGCUAACUACGUG